RNAcentral lists this ribosomal RNA (393 nucleotides) under uncultured bacterium. Its description in RNAcentral is "partial 16S ribosomal RNA". It matches the Rfam family "Bacterial small subunit ribosomal RNA", at positions 523 to 918 of the family's 1533-position model. The record is from RNAcentral.
AUACGGAGGAUCCGAGCGUUAUCCGGAUUUAUUGGGUUUAAAGGGUGCGCAGGCGGGAGAUUAAGUCGGCGGUGAAAUUUUGCAGCUCAACUGUAAAAGUGCCUUCGAAACUGGUUUUCUUGAGUGUAGAUGAAGUAGGCGGAAUUUGUGGUGUAGCGGUGAAAUGCAUAGAUAUCACGAGGAACUCCGAUUGCGCAGGCAGCUUACUAAACUACUACUGACGCACAGGCACGAAGGCGUGGGGAUCAAACAGGAUUAGAUACCCUGGUAGUCCACGCAGUAAACGAUGAUUACUAGCUGUUUGCGAUACAAUGUAAGCGGCUGAGCGAAAGCGUUAAGUAAUCCACCUGGGGAGUACGUUCGCAAGAAUGAAACUCAAAUGAAUUGACGGGG